Non-coding RNA from Nothobranchius furzeri (turquoise killifish), 3734 nucleotides. NCBI's taxonomy places the organism in Eukaryota, Metazoa, Chordata, Actinopteri, Cyprinodontiformes, Nothobranchiidae. The record is from RefSeq and is a predicted model, not a curated record.
CUGACCUAGAACACACACAGAAAAGCACAAAAAGACAUGUUUUGUUUACUUUACACCUUUACAGUUUCAUGCAUCUACUAUUGCAUUCGUUAUAAUGAAAAGAUCAGAUUUUACGCCGCAUGCUGAGAUGAUAAAGUGUCACUUCACAGCUUGUUUCAUGCACCUGUGCUUGACGCACGCUCACAGACUACGUUCAAAAGAGUUUUUAAAAGUGAAGCGGAGGGUGAAGAAGAGACAAAUAGAGACAAGUUGGCAGAAGAAACAAAGUCAUCUUGUGUGUUUUUGUGUGUGUUUGCCUGUGAAAUUAUUUGCAAAGAUUCCUGCAGCUAGAAACGAAUUGAAUAAUGCCUGCUGGAAGUUUGCUUCCACAAAAAGAAAAGUACCAAGCAUUGUUUCUACUGAACCACAAUAACAUAAAAUGAAAUAAAAAUCUAAUUCUGGACAUUUUCCCUUUGUAACUCCUCCUCACAAGAACCUGCAUGAGAUAGUUUGUUUUCUAACAGAAGUGUUACAGACAUGCACAGGUGGAUCGGAGGCACGGGGCCGGCUGCAGAACAGCUGGCAUGGGCACAGUUUUGCUCAAGGACACAAUAGAUGAGCAGGUGCUUUCUGAAAUAGAUAUGUAAAACAUAAAGAAAUAUCCAGUUGGUUGGUUUGUGUGCAUGUUUUCAUUCUGAUUAUUAAAAUGAUUUUGUCACAUGCCUAAUUGCAAAGAUGCUUAUAUUUUGUUUAGAUUUCAGGAUGACAGAUAUUUCUGCCCACUUCAAAGUCAGAUGUUUCACAAGGCAUGUGGUGGAAUAAGAAGACACCAAUAGCAUAGGAAGUCCCAAGAACUGUGGCAUGUUGUCCAAGAAUGUUUCUCAAUUUGGAUCCAUCUCUAAACAACAAUCCUUUAAAAAAGAAACACUUACAGCACUCCUAUGUGUUUUCACUCCCACUUUGGACCUCCGGGCUUACCUAGCAGGGUUUUUUCUGUUUCAAGUUUCAAGUUCACUUAUUUUGUCAACAUUUGCAGUGCUCUCUAGCAUAAAUUAAUGCCUUGUGAGUCAAUCUUGAGGAAAUGAGCUCUUGUGCUCCUGUUUCAGGAUCUAGAAUGAGCCAGAGCAGACAAAGAGCAGCAGGAUGGAUUUGGAGUCUUAUUUCCUGAUAUUUGGAUAGCUCUUCUCUGAUUGGAUAACAGAGAAAGCAACUCUACCACUGCCUCUGUUUGCUCUGCAAUGCUGAUGUUUUAUCUCCACAAAUAACACAACCCCGGAGGAGUUCUGCUGUGUGGUGGAAUUGCUAAUGCUAACAGUUAGCUUUUACUAGUCGAGACGUGCUCUGCUGUUUCCUGGAUGCUUAAACAACAACAUUUUUCUCCUUCGCGAGCUGAGAUGGGUGAGUCCAUGAACAUUAAGGGAGUGUGACAUAGGCUGGCUUUUCUAAUCCCAGAGUUUCCCCGUCUAUUUUCAAUCCCUCGCUAAUGCAGGAAAUGGGAUAGAAGACUAUUUUCACACUGAGCCUGCAUGUAAACUCAGAGUGACCGACCAUAUUUUAAAAAGAACAAGAAAAAAACAGCUUCUCAGUGGAAUUGAUUUUUAAGUGCUCUGCAGUUCAGUUGGUCCUUAUUUUGUUCAUGUGACUAAUUCAUCAAGUAGAUUCAGUUUUAUAGAUGUUAUCUAUGUUUUAAACCAGUGUCUAAAUGUUGCAGUAUUUAUUUGAUAUUCAUCAUAAAUAUGUCAGAAAUUAGACACUUUUAUUAUUUAUACUGUAAUCAUCACAAAACAUAUAACUUUGCCACCUACUGCCAAAACUGUUUUUCACGUGUUACAUUAUCAGAAAACUAAAAAAUCAAAGGCUGCUACUGAUCGAAGCCUACUGUAUAUAUUUCUAUUACUUCUAUAGUAGAAAUUCUACUUUAUUUCAAAUAUAUACAUCAUUAAAACAAUCUAAUGCUCUGAGAAUUUCUUAUUAUUCUUCUUUUGACAAGAGGAUGUAUGAAUGAAUGAAUGGACGAACGAACAAAUGAACAACUUAAUUAAUUAAUUAAUUAUUGAUAAGAAUUUUUGCUACAUUUUAGGAGAAUUUUAUAACUGAGUUGAGUCUUUUUUUAUGGAAAUUCAAGUUCAGAAUAAUAAUAUGAUCACUAUUUAUAGUUUAAAUCCAUUCAUGAAGCCUUAAGCCAGUUAAUUAAGACCUAAGUGUAACUUUAUGUUAUUUACGUGUUUGGGAAUCAUGUUGUGUCACCAUGUGAGCUCAGGUCUUAGAGAAAUGAUAAACCAAAAUAGAGUGGAUGACAUUGUUUAUCAUGGGAAAAGAAUCCAAAACAGAAGUGAUAUAUCAGCUCUGUGGCAGGAGGGAACUUCAGUCCCUCAUCAAUUCCCAGACUCACCUGUCGUCCUCAGUACAAUAAAAUCACAAAAGAAAUCACGGAAUAAUCUGACCUGAUCAGAACUAAAAUGUAAAAUUUUCAGGUCCUUCGUGUUCGCCUCCAUCUCUUCAGACCAAGUGCAAAAUUCAAUUCAAAAAUACUUUAUUAAUCCCAGAGGGAAAUUGAUUGCUGCAGUAGCUCAGAAUAAUAAUAAUAAUAAAGUCAUCAAAGAGUUAUUGUAUAUUACAUUGGCUUUUGGCAGGAAGGAUCUCCAGUAGUGGCCAGUGUUGCAGCAAAACUAAAGAAGCCUCUGACUGAAGACACUCUUCCGUUGUUGGACAGUCUUGUGAAGAGAAUGCUCAGGGUUGUCCAUAAUUUUUUUGAUCCUCUGGAGAAUCCUUCUUUGCAUUAUCUCAUCCAGUGGUUCCACAGUCGUUCCCAGAACAGAACCAGCCUUUUUUAUUAGGCUGUUGAGCCUUUUCAGGUCCCUGCUUCUGAUGCUACUACCCCAACAGAUGAUGGCUGAAGAGAUUACACUCUUAACAACAGACUUGUAGAAGAUCUGCAGCAUCUUGCUACAGACAUUGAAGGACCUAAGUGUCCUCAAGAAGUGCAGUCUGCUGUGUCCCUUCUCGUAAACGGCUUUGCUGUUCUUUCUCCAGUCCAGUCUGUUGUCCAGGUGAACUCCAAGGUCAGAUGAUUGUUUCCACACCAUGCCACAAAGUGCUCCACCAGCUCUCUGUACUCAGCUUCCUGUCCAUACACCCGACAACUGCAGAGUCAUCUGAGUAUUUCUGUAGAUGGCAGGUCUCUGAUUUGUACUGGAAGUCUGAGGUGUACAGGGUGAAAAGGAAUGGUAGUCUUUAAUCCAGGUGAUAGCUGAGGUCCCCACCUGUGUCUUCGGGAGUUUCUGGCAAAGUACAUCAGGCUGGAUUGUGUUAAGUGCACUGGAGAAAUCAAAGAACAUGACCCUCACAGUGCUGCCUGCUUUGUCCAGAUGACAGUGGGUUGGUUGAAGCAGCUGGAUGAUGGCAACGUCAACUCCAACUCCAUGGCGAUAAGCAAACUGCAGCGGGUCCUGAUAUGUUCUAGUUUGCUUAUUCAGGUGGACCAACAGGAGUCUCUCCAGGACCUUCAUGAUGUGGGAUGUCAGGGCAACCGGUCUGUAGUCAUUGACUGAUGUGCGAGUUUUCUUUGGAACUGGAACAAGGCAGGAUGUCUUCCACAGCACUGGAACCUUCUCCUGGGCCAGGCUAAGGUUGAAGAGGUGCUGCAGAAUCCCAGAGAGCUGCUCUGCACAGGCCUUCAAUACCCUGGGGCUGACACCAUCUGGACCUGCAGCCUUGUUCCUGUUCGGUCUCUCCAGCUGCCUCUUUACCUGACU